This 603-nucleotide long non-coding RNA is filed under the name Homo sapiens (human). Its description in RNAcentral is "non-protein coding lnc-CAGE1-1:2". Lineage: Eukaryota; Metazoa; Chordata; Mammalia; Primates; Hominidae. The record is from RNAcentral.
GGCUGGGACAAAGGCGGCUGCAGCCGUGUCCAGCAGGCAGGGGACAGCCCCGCGCGGGCCCGACGCCCCCUCUGACCACCCGCCCGGGCUCGCGGGAGGGGAGAAAGAAAACCACGACUUCCUGGAAAAGUCUUCACCGUAAAUAUUAAUCUCUUUGGCAUGAAGAGGAAAACACUGCAGCUAAUUUUUCAUGGGAUAACAAAAAUAUAAACUGCAAUUUCUUUUAUUUUUUCCCUUUCGAUGGUCUUUUUAAACGAGGAGUAAAGAUUUCAACGCCAGGUCCAUUUUCCAAAUUUUGUACCAGAACCUUGAGGAUGCUUGUCUCUCGCGCGCUUCUCCGCAGACCGAACCCUCUCCGGAACUCAGAGCUGUUCACCCAAGUCAGCGGAGGAGGCCUCCUGGGACUUGAGCCUGAGGGUGGCGAAGAACCCUAGGCAGAGAUCAUCAACUUGGUACCGAUGAGUGACGCGGAGCUUGAACAUUCCAGCGACUUGCUCCAGGGCCACUCCCAGUUAAGAGGCUGAGUGUUAACUGCAAGAGGCUGAGUGUUAACUACGCCGUUGGCUCCAGGAACCGAACCGGGUUUGGAUACAGACCCAGUCA